This 707-nucleotide ribosomal RNA is filed under the name Salmonella enterica subsp. enterica serovar Hvittingfoss. RNAcentral's name for it is "partial 23S ribosomal RNA". It matches the Rfam family "Bacterial large subunit ribosomal RNA", at positions 911 to 1616 of the family's 2925-position model. The record is from RNAcentral. Lineage: Bacteria; Pseudomonadati; Pseudomonadota; Gammaproteobacteria; Enterobacterales; Enterobacteriaceae.
UGUUUCGGCUAGGGGGCCAUCCCGGCUUACCAACCCGAUGCAAACUGCGAAUACCGGAGAAUGUUAUCACGGGAGACACACGGCGGGUGCUAACGUCCGUCGUGAAGAGGGAAACAACCCAGACCGCCAGCUAAGGUCCCAAAGUCAUGGUUAAGUGGGAAACGAUGUGGGAAGGCCCAGACAGCCAGGAUGUUGGCUUAGAAGCAGCCAUCAUUUAAAGAAAGCGUAAUAGCUCACUGGUCGAGUCGGCCUGCGCGGAAGAUGUAACGGGGCUAAACCAUGCACCGAAGCUGCGGCAGCGACGCUGAUGCGUUGUUGGGUAGGGGAGCGUUCUGUAAGCCUGUGAAGGUGUGUCGUGAGGCAUGCUGGAGGUAUCAGAAGUGCGAAUGCUGACAUAAGUAACGAUAAAGCGGGUGAAAAGCCCGCUCGCCGGAAGACCAAGGGUUCCUGUCCAACGUUAAUCGGGGCAGGGUGAGUCGACCCCUAAGGCGAGGCCGAAAGGCGUAGUCGAUGGGAAACGGGUUAAUAUUCCCGUACUUGGUGUUACUGCGAAGGGGGGACGGAGAAGGCUAUGUUGGCCGGGCGACGGUUGUCCCGGUUUAAGCGUGUAGGUGUGUGUUCCAGGUAAAUCCGGUUCACUUUAACACUGAGGCGUGACGACGAGGCACUACGGUGCUGAAGCAACAAAUGCCCUGCUUCCAGGAAAA